UGGCUCAGUUAGUAGAGCAUGGUGUUUGCAACGCCAGCAUGGUGUGUGCAACACCAGGUUUGUGGGUUCGAUUCCCAC
This 78-nucleotide transfer RNA is filed under the name Salmo salar (Atlantic salmon). It matches the Rfam family "tRNA", at positions 8 to 63 of the family's 71-position model. Rfam says of the family: Transfer RNA (tRNA) molecules are approximately 80 nucleotides in length. Their secondary structure includes four short double-helical elements and three loops (D, anti-codon, and T loops). The record is from Rfam by way of RNAcentral. Lineage: Eukaryota; Metazoa; Chordata; Actinopteri; Salmoniformes; Salmonidae.